RNAcentral lists this unclassified non-coding RNA (177 nucleotides) under uncultured Hypocreales. Its description in RNAcentral is "sequence contains ITS2". Lineage: Eukaryota; Fungi; Ascomycota; Sordariomycetes; Hypocreales. The record is from RNAcentral.
CGACCCUCGCGCCCGGCUUCUGUCGGGGGCGGUGUUGGGGAUCGGCCACACCCUUUACUGGGCGGCCGUCCCCUAAAUCCAGUGGCGACCACGCUGUAGCCUCCCCUGCGUAGUACUAAAACCACCUCGCAGGCGGAGAGCGGUGCGGCCCGCCGUAAAACCCCCCAACUUUUACAA